GCUAACUGUUCUAUUUUUAGCCACCAAUGGCAUAACAUCACCACUCAGAGUUGCACUCCCACCAAAGCCUGAGAAUUCUACUGCGGGUCAGCGUAUAAUGAGUUAUGCGACAGCUGUAUAUGACUACGCAGCGACGGCAACAAACACAGAUCAACUUGAAGGCCGGAGACCGUAUAGCGGUGCUCAGUAAAACAGGAAGUGAUAAGGGAUGGUGGAAAGGAGAACACCUGGCCACGCAUAAAGUCGGCUAUUUCCCAUUUGCCUAUGUGAGAGAAGAGGAUGAAGAAUGAAGCAACCCACCUUGAUAACUCAAGUCCCUUGACAAAAACAUGGAAUACUUCAGAGAUGAUUUACCAAGUGUUAUAACAUUCAGAGAUAAUUCAUUAAGUGAUAUAACAUGACUACUUCAGAGAUGGAUUAUCACAUGUUAUAACAUGAAUACUUUACCAAGUGUUAUAACAUGACUUUAUCCAAUUUUGCGGCCAUACAUUAAACUUUUAUUAUUCAUGAUAAAUGUAGAACAUUGUUUGACAAAGUGACUCACUAAACUCUCUGUCAAUAUCAACUUCAUACUUGAACAAGUUUUAUUAUAUAAAUAUCCAGCAGUUAUAUGGCUGUACACAUAGAUCAAAGUUUUUUAUGAAAACAAUGUUGCAUAUACUACAGUCACUACAGACAGAUAUUAU
Ruditapes philippinarum (Manila clam) is the source of this 686-nucleotide long non-coding RNA. RefSeq lists it as uncharacterized. The record is from RefSeq and is a predicted model, not a curated record. The transcript is spliced from 3 exons. NCBI's taxonomy places the organism in Eukaryota, Metazoa, Mollusca, Bivalvia, Venerida, Veneridae.